This 253-nucleotide ribosomal RNA is filed under the name uncultured bacterium. RNAcentral describes it as "partial 16S ribosomal RNA". It matches the Rfam family "Bacterial small subunit ribosomal RNA", at positions 524 to 776 of the family's 1533-position model. The record is from RNAcentral.
UACGUAGGGUGCAAGCGUUGUUCGGAAUCACUGGGCGUAAAGGGAGUGUAGGCGGGAUCGUAAGUUAGGAGUUUAAUCUACGGGCUCAACUCGUAGUCUGCUUUUAAUACUGCGGUUCUUGAGUAUGGGAGAGGGCGAUGGAAUUCCAGGUGUAGCGGUGGAAUGCGUAGAUAUCUGGAAGAACACCAGUAGCGAAGGCGGUCGCCUGGCCCAAUACUGACGCUGAGACUCGAAAGCUAGGGGAGCAAACAGG